Molecule: ribosomal RNA, 829 nt
Filed under: uncultured bacterium
Lineage: Bacteria
Description: bacterial SSU rRNA
Rfam family: Bacterial small subunit ribosomal RNA
Source: RNAcentral
AACGAACGCUGGCGGCAGGCUUAACACAGGCAAGUCGAACGCGUGUAGCAAUACACGAGUGGCGCACGGGUGAGUAACACGUGGAUAUCUACCUUUUGGUUCGGAAUAACCCUGGGAAACUAGGGCUAAUACCGGAUGGCUCCUACGGGAUAAAGAUUUAUCGCCAAAAGAUGAGUCCGCGUCCGAUUAGCUAGUUGGUGAGGUAAUGGCUCACCAAGGCGACGAUCGGUAGCUGGUCUGAGAGGACGAUCAGCCACACUGGGACUGAGACACGGCCCACACACCUACGGGUGGCAGCAGUUGGGAAUCUUGCACAAUGGGGGAAACCCUGAUGCAGCGACGCCGCGUUGAGGAUGAAGGGUCUAGGCCUGUAAACUCCUUUUCUCGGGAAAGACUUAGGACGGUACCCGAGGAAUAAGCACCGGCUAACUACGUGCCAGCAGCCGCGGUGAGACGUAGGGUGCAAGCGUUGUCCGGAUUUACUGGGCGUAAAGCGCGCGUAGGCGGUCUGUUAAGUGUAGAGUGAAAGCUCCGGGCUCAACCCGGAAAUUGCUCUGCAUACUGGCAGACUUGAGGGAUGCAGAGGUUUGUGGAAUUCCUGGUGUAACGGUGAAAUGUGUUGAUAUCAGGAGGAACACCCAUGGCGAAAGCAGCAAACUGGGCAUCAUCUGACGCUGAGGCGCGAAAGCGUGGGUAGCAAACAGGAUUAGAUACCCUGGUAGUCCACGCCCUAAACGAUGGAUACUAGGCGUAGAAAGGUAUCGACCCCUUCUGUGCCGCAGCUAACGCAUUAAGUAUCCCGCCUGGGGACUACGGCCGCAAGGUUGAA